Molecule: ribosomal RNA, 1563 nt
Filed under: Triticum aestivum (bread wheat)
Lineage: Eukaryota; Viridiplantae; Streptophyta; Magnoliopsida; Poales; Poaceae
Description: partial small subunit ribosomal RNA
Source: RNAcentral
AUGCACCAAUCCAACCAAAAGCAAUCGGAUCUAUUCUCCUUCUCAUACUGUCUGCUAAAAAAUACAAGAGCUACUAAGAGCAUGGCCAUGGCGACGUCCUCGAAGCCGGCCAAGACGACGACGCCGCACAUCCUGCUGCUCCCCUACCCGGCGCAGGGCCACGUGAACCCGUUCCUUCGUCUCGCCAAGGCCCUGCACGCGCGGGGGCUCCACGUCACCUUCGUCCACACGGAGCACAACCACGGCCGCCUCCUCCGCUCCCGCGGCCUCGGCGCUGUCACGGCCCCCGCCGACGGCUUCCGGUUCGAGACGAUCCCCGACGGGCUCCCCCGUUCCGACCACGACGCCACGCAGGACAUCUGGGCGCUGUGCGAGGCCACGCGCCGGGCGUGUCCUGGCCACCUCAGGGCGCUCGUCGAGAGGCUCGGGAGGACGGAGGGGGUCCCCCCGGUCACCUGCGUCGUCGCCGACGGCGCCAUGGGGUUCGCGGUGCACGCGGCCAAGGACAUGGGGCUGCCGGCGUACCUCUUCUUCACCCCCAGCGCCUGCGGCUUCCUGUGCUACCUCAACUUCGAUCAGCUUGUCAAGCGAGGAUACGUGCCAUUCAAAGAUGAGAGCUGCUUCACCAACGGGUACCUGGACACCCCGGUGGACUGGAUCACUGGCAUGAUCAGCAACCUCCGCCUACGUGACUUCCCGACGUUCAUCCGUACUACCAACGCUGACGAUGUGAUGCUAACCAUCAACAUCAAGCAAUGCGAGCUCGACGCCCCCGCCGCUGACGGUAUCCUCCUCAACACCUACGACGACCUCGAGCGCGCCGCGCUGGACGCAAUCCGCGAGCGCCUGCCCAACACCUUCGUCGUCGGGCCCCUCGGCCCGGAGGUCUCACCACCAUCGUACCUCCCCUCACUCACCUCGAGCUUGUGGAAGGAGGACGACCGGUGCGUCGAGUGGCUAGACGCGCAGGCGGCAGACGGUUCCGUGAUGUACGUCAACUUCGGGAGCAUCACCGUGGUGACGAGGGACCAGAUGGUGGAGUUCGCUCGAGGGCUAGCCGACGCUGGCAGCCCAUUCCUGUGGGUUGUCCGGCCUGACAUGGUGCGCGACGGCGGCAAUGAUGAUGGCAAGAUGCCGGUGCCGGAUGGGUUCGCAGAGGAGGUCGCGGGACGAGGGCUGAUGGUGGGGUGGUGCGACCAGGAGGCGGUGCUGGGCCACCGCGCGACCGGGGGUUUCCUGAGCCACUGUGGUUGGAACUCGACGUUGGAGAGCCUGUGCGCUGGCGUGCCGAUGUUGUGCUGGCCCUUCUUCUCAGAGCAGGUGACCAACUGCCGGUACGCGUGCGAGGAGUGGGGUGUGGGCGUCCAGAUGCCGCGCGAGGCCGGGCGGGGAGAGGUUGAGGCUGCCGUGAAGGAGCUGAUGGGCGACGGGGAUAAGGCAGUGGCAAUGAGGAGGAAGGCAGCGGAGUGGAAGGAGAAGGCCGUGAAGGCGGUCGUAGUGGUGGGGUCAUCACAACGGGACCUCGAAAGGUUCGUCGACGAAAUUGCGCGUGUCAAGGGCUAG